This 193-nucleotide unclassified non-coding RNA is filed under the name uncultured Tubeufiaceae. RNAcentral describes it as "sequence contains ITS1". Lineage: Eukaryota; Fungi; Ascomycota; Dothideomycetes; Tubeufiales; Tubeufiaceae. The record is from RNAcentral.
CUGAGUACCGGGUCCUUUGGGCCCUUACUCCCACCCUUUGUGUAUCUUACCAUUUAUUCAGUUGCCUUGGUGGGACUCCUAACCACCCUUUGGAACGGGUUUUAUACCUAAUCCUUUGGGCAGGACCCACCAUUGGAACUCCCCAAAACUCUUUAUGAAUUGGGAUUGUCUGAGAACAAAAACAAAUAAAUUA